RNAcentral lists this ribosomal RNA (443 nucleotides) under uncultured bacterium. RNAcentral describes it as "partial 16S ribosomal RNA". It matches the Rfam family "Bacterial small subunit ribosomal RNA", at positions 338 to 795 of the family's 1533-position model. The record is from RNAcentral.
CCUACGGGUGGCAGCAGUGGGGAAUAUUGGGCAAUGGGCGCAAGCCUGACCCAGCAACGCCGCGUGAAGGAAGAAGGCUUUCGGGUUGUAAACUUCUUUUCUGAGGGACAAAGAAAGUGACGGUACCUCAGGAAUAAGCCACGGCUAACUACGUGCCAGCAGCCGCGGUAAUACGUAGGUGGCAAGCGUUAUCCGGAUUUAUUGGGUGUAAAGGGCGUGUAGGCGGGAAAGCAAGUCAGAUGUGAAAACUCAGGGCUCAACCCUGAGACUGCAGUUGAAACUGUUUUUCUUGAGUGCUGGAGAGGCAAUCGGAAUGCCGUGUGUAGCGGUGAAAUGCGUAGAUAUAAGGAAGAACACCAGUGGCGAAGGCAGAUUGCUGGACAGUAACUGACGCUGAGGCGCGAAAGCGUGGGGAGCAAACAGGAUUAGAUACCCCAGUAGUC